UCCUUCUUCUACCGAAAGACUGAUCUAGGGACUAAGGUUUAGCACUUUUACAAGUUCAUAGUGACCUUACAUAGGUCAGGCGGGGAGUGUGUUGUCCUGUAAGGACUUUAAUAUUUAUAUGUGUGCUUUAAAUAUUUUUGAUAAAUAUUCCUCUAUAAAAAUGUAAAGUUUAUAAUUACUUUAUCUACUUAAGUUGUAAAAAUAUAUGGUUCGUUUUAUGCGAUGUCACUUCCGGUUUUGCUACUUCCGGUUUCGCCACUUCCGGUUAGCGCUCAGUGCUCAAUCUUGCAAUGAAACCGGCAUGGCGUGCUCUUUAUAGUAUCCAGCGCAUCCACUAAAAACAUCAUAGAGGCAAUGCCUUUUCACCGUACAAUGUAAAUGAGAGAGUGACAGUAAAGGGUAAAUCUUA
This is a long non-coding RNA of Tachysurus fulvidraco (yellow catfish), 409 nucleotides long. RefSeq lists it as uncharacterized. NCBI's taxonomy places the organism in Eukaryota, Metazoa, Chordata, Actinopteri, Siluriformes, Bagridae. The transcript has 2 exons. The record is from RefSeq and is a predicted model, not a curated record.